AUUGAACGCUGGCGGCAGGCUUAACACAUGCAAGUCGAGCGGAGAUGAGGUGCUUGCACCUUAUCUUAGCGGCGGACGGGUGAGUAAUGCUUAGGAAUCUGCCUAUUAGUGGGGGACAACAUUCCGAAAGGAAUGCUAAUACCGCAUACGUCCUACGGGAGAAAGCAGGGGAUCUUCUGACCUUGCGCUAAUUGAUGAGCCUAAGUCGGAUUAGCUAGUUGGUGGGGGAAAGGCCUACCAAGGCGACGAUCUGGAGCGGGUCUGAGAGGAUGAUCCGCCACACUGGGACUGAGACACGGCCCAGACUCCUACGGGAGGCAGCAGUGGGGAAUAUUGGACAAUGGGGGGAACCCUGAUCCAGCCAUGCCGCGUGUGUGAAGAAGGCCUUAUGGUUGUAAAGCACUUUAAGCGAGGAGGAGGCUACUGAGACUAAUACUCUUGGAUAGUGGACGUUACUCGCAGAAUAAGCACCGGCUAACUCUGUGCCAGCCGCCGCCGUAA
Molecule: ribosomal RNA, 501 nt
Filed under: uncultured bacterium
Lineage: Bacteria
Description: partial 16S ribosomal RNA
Rfam family: Bacterial small subunit ribosomal RNA
Source: RNAcentral